Molecule: long non-coding RNA, 158 nt
Filed under: Urocitellus parryii (Arctic ground squirrel)
Lineage: Eukaryota; Metazoa; Chordata; Mammalia; Rodentia; Sciuridae
Description: Rhabdomyosarcoma 2 associated transcript conserved region 10 (ENSUPAG00010006217.1)
Rfam family: Rhabdomyosarcoma 2 associated transcript conserved region 10
Source: RNAcentral
UAACCCACCACUCUGGUAGGCAGCAUUCAAUCCUUCUAUGCCUUUUUUUUUUCGUCAACUGUUGAGGUCUUACUUCUGAAACAGAGAAGAAAUAAACAAGUCAGAUUUACCUUCUUGGAAAUGUGGUCCAGAUUUCUCUACUCCCAAGCUCCAAAAAA